Molecule: long non-coding RNA, 227 nt
Filed under: Elaeis guineensis (African oil palm)
Lineage: Eukaryota; Viridiplantae; Streptophyta; Magnoliopsida; Arecales; Arecaceae
Description: long non-coding RNA (EGUI_LNC045899)
Source: RNAcentral
UUGAAACACAAAAACCUAGGAACUCCUUGAUGAUCACAAACAAAUAAUUUUAGCAUGCAUAUUAACGAGGGAGCAGAAGUCAUAUACUAAAUAUGAAGAUGAGGAUCUGGUAAUAGAGUGAUCUCCACAAGGCCCCAAAGUAGAAGUCCUCCAAUGGUGAUCCACAAGGGAUAGAUCAGGGCCCUUCCCAAUUUGAUGUAUUGCUGCGGCCAUCUUCACAAGUCCAU